GAUGAACGCUGGCGGCGUGCCUAAUACAUGCAAGUCGAGCGAACAGACGAGGAGCUUGCUCCUUCGACGUUAGCGGCGGACGGGUGAGUAACACGUAGGUAACCUACCUAUAAGACUGGGAUAACUUCGGUAAACCGGAGCUAAUACCGGAUAAUAUUUCGAACCGCAUGGUUCGAUAGUGAAAGAUGGCUUUGCUAUCACUUAUAGAUGGACCUGCGCCGUAUUAGCUAGUUGGUAAGGUAACGGCUUACCAAGGCAACGAUACGUAGCCGACCUGAGAGGGUGAUCGGCCACACUGGAACUGAGACACGGUCCAGACUCCUACGGGAGGCAGCAGUAGGGAAUCUUCCGCAAUGGGCGAAAGCCUGACGGAGCAACGCCGCGUGAGUGAUGAAGGUCUUCGGAUCGUAAAACUCUGUUAUUAGGGAAGAACAAACGUGUAAGUAGCUGUGCACGUCUUGACGGUACCUAAUCAGAAAGCCACGGCUAACUACGUG
RNAcentral lists this ribosomal RNA (497 nucleotides) under uncultured bacterium. RNAcentral describes it as "partial 16S ribosomal RNA". It matches the Rfam family "Bacterial small subunit ribosomal RNA", at positions 28 to 507 of the family's 1533-position model. The record is from RNAcentral.